AUUCACAGAUUAUUGUUCAAUUGAUUAUUGUUUAAGUUUCAAAUUAAUUAAAGUACAUUCUUAAUUAAUUUAAGGGCGAUCAUGCAGUUAAUCAAAGUAUAUUCUCAAUCAAAUGCAAGACCUUUCUAGAUUAUUCACAAUAAAUUCAACCAAAGUACAUUCUCAAUCAAGUNUAUUGUGUUUAAUCAUGUCUAUUCUUAAAUCUCUUAACCAAAUUAAAAGUUAAUCAAUCAAAGUAAAUUCUCAAUUGAUUUUAGUUGAAAUUNUUACUACNAACCAAAGUACAUUCUCAAUUGAUAGUAAAAACCAUUUAAUUAUAUGAAAGUUCCUAAAUUAAAUCAAAGUAGAUUCUCAAUUAAACCUAGAAACCCUAGAACUCAUAUAAUUAAUAUGCAUGUAGAUUCAAACAAAAUAGAGGGAACAAAUCAAAUUGUUUCCCCACACCCCCACACUUAAACUAUGCAUUGUCCUCAGUGUAUACCUUUCAUGUAAAAUGCAAAGAAAAAGUAUGAGGGAACUUACCUCCUUCAUGGUGCGAGGAGUGUUGGAGUGAUCAAAUUCA
Molecule: long non-coding RNA, 562 nt
Filed under: Vigna radiata
Lineage: Eukaryota; Viridiplantae; Streptophyta; Magnoliopsida; Fabales; Fabaceae
Description: long non-coding RNA (VRAD_LNC015616)
Source: RNAcentral